GCUCAGCCUUUCAUUAACUAUUUUAGUUCAAGAGGACCGAAAUUCAGAUCCCGAUCGGCAAGAGGGUUGAGAGUAGUUCACUAUCCAAACUCCCUUCAAGUGUUAGUGAAGGUUGUCCUAAGAUGUUUAGUUAUUCACUUUUCGUUUCAUUUCUUUAAUUUUCGUUUAUCUUUUAGAAGGGGCAUUCUCGUAGUCCUAUUGGACAUUC
Molecule: long non-coding RNA, 208 nt
Filed under: Carica papaya (papaya)
Lineage: Eukaryota; Viridiplantae; Streptophyta; Magnoliopsida; Brassicales; Caricaceae
Description: long non-coding RNA (CPAP_LNC000859)
Source: RNAcentral